RNAcentral lists this ribosomal RNA (39 nucleotides) under Alternaria infectoria. RNAcentral describes it as "partial 28S ribosomal RNA". Lineage: Eukaryota; Fungi; Ascomycota; Dothideomycetes; Pleosporales; Pleosporaceae. The record is from RNAcentral.
CUUUGACCUCGGAUCAGGUAGGGAUACCCGCUGAACUUA